RNAcentral lists this ribosomal RNA (360 nucleotides) under Cosetacus sp. GD115. RNAcentral's name for it is "partial small subunit ribosomal RNA". The record is from RNAcentral. Lineage: Eukaryota; Metazoa; Arthropoda; Arachnida; Trombidiformes; Eriophyidae.
CUCAAUAUGAGAAUGACGGGCGAUAUGUGCACUAAAAUAUUAAAACUUCAACAAAAAAUUUUUAUUUUAAAAUUUACUUUUAAGUUUUAUUAAAGUGUUUUAAAUUAAAACUUUUACAAUAUUUAUUUAAAGAUUGCAUAUAAACCUCAUAUUUAAAUUCUGUCUUGAUUUGUUUUUUAAUUUUUAAUUUUUUAUAAUUUAACAUGUUUUAUUUAUUUGAAACAAUGAUAUGAAAAUUUAUAAUACAAGUUAAAUUUGAACGCGGGUUAUCGAUUAAUUUACACAGCCCCCUAAUUUAAUUUUAGCCGCCAUUUAAAAGAUAUUUCUUUUAAUUAAAUACUUCAUUUCAUUUAUUUAAAA